GAGAAGAUGAUGGUGAAUCAUUCUACACGUGGCUGGAAGAAACCUGGGGUAAACCUAGCUGGGGACCUAAUAUGAAAGAAUUUAAAUGGUGCUUUGACCCUGUGGAAACUAAGGGAGAAGGUCCAAGAAGGCUUAAGGAUCUAUACUUUCUAUACUUAAUUGAGCUUCAAGCUUUAUCAAAGGUG
Molecule: long non-coding RNA, 185 nt
Organism: Ailuropoda melanoleuca (giant panda)
Lineage: Eukaryota; Metazoa; Chordata; Mammalia; Carnivora; Ursidae
Exons: 3
Source: RefSeq, a predicted model, not a curated record